UGCCUUGAUGGGCUGCCCUUAGGUCAGCUGG
Molecule: non-coding RNA, 31 nt
Filed under: Macaca fascicularis (crab-eating macaque)
Lineage: Eukaryota; Metazoa; Chordata; Mammalia; Primates; Cercopithecidae
Also listed under: 1 other name
Source: RNAcentral